AGACAAGACAUUCAGUUGUGGCUCAGUUGUAAUUUACUUUUCAAAUGUGGUACAUUAAAGGGAACAAUUAUAACUAAUAUAGGUAUAAGACCAGAAGACCAAAAAAAGGGAAAGUCAAACUUAAUACCCUGUAGGUAAAAACAUAUUUUGGUUUUUUUAAUGGUAUCUCUUAGUGGACUUCAGGAGGUGGUUGGUCCAAAGACAUAUUUUGACUCGGAAUUUGGUCAAGGAUCAUUAAUGAAUUUGGUUCAUUGAUAAUUAGAGAUUUGGAUGAAUCAGCUGCUCAAUUCAUGUUGCUGUGUACUCAGACCCCACAGAUAAAUGUUACCAACAGACCUCUUCUGUAGUUCUAAAAGGGGAUUUUCUACAAGUCAUAGUGUGGUAGGCUGAAUAAUGGCCCCCCUAAGAUGUCCACAUCCUAUUCCCCGAAAUCUUUGAAUAUGUUGCCUUACGUGGCAAAAAGGACUUUGCAGGUGUAGUUAAAUGAAGGAUCUUGAAAUGGGAAGAUUACGCUGGAUUUUCAGGAUGGGCCAAUGUAAUCACAAAGGUCCUUAUGAGAGGAGGGCAGUCAGAGAGAGAUGAUGUACAGAUGGAAGCAGAGGUCAAGGAGAGAGAAGAUGCUAUGCUGUAUGCUGCUGGCUUUGAAGAGGAGGAACGGGCCACAGACCAACGAAAGUAGGUGGCUUCUAGAACCUGGAAAAGGCAAGCAAAUAGAUUAUUCCUUAAUGCCUGAAGAAGGAAUGCAGCCCUGUGGACAUAUUCUAGGCCUCUGAUCUUUAGAACCGUAAGCUAAAUUUGUACUGUUUUAAGCCACUAAAUUUGUGGUAGUUUGUGAUGGCAGCUAUAGGAAACUAACACAUGUGGUCCAUUUAUAAUUCAGAGGAGACUCUAGGCUAGGAUGACAUGUCAACUCUGAUCGAUUACUAGGUGGUGCCUAGGGUUCUGGGUUGAGAAUGGUUCUGAGACUGAGUCUGGGUGGGCUCAGCAAAAAAUAUUACCAUGAUCAUAGCUGUAAUCAUUACCAUGAUCAAAACCCAUGACUGCCGUGGGUUUUGGAUGCACAUAUGUGCCUCAGACCGAAAUCUUUUUGUGGUGAGUGGGCAUAUAGCCUGCAGAACCUAACAACCAAACAGUCUGUGUGGCUCAGAAGGAUGAGCUCCAUCCUGCACACUGACUCAAAUGGAGAUGGCUAAGGCAUGUGAGUUUCAAUAACAGCGCAGCUGAAAUUUCUUGCAAGGGGAAAGUUAUUGGAUUUACAAAACUUUUCUAUAUUCAAGAGCUGCGGGUUCCGCUCAUGUCUAGCGAGCCCACUAACUUGUAACUUGGGGUUGUUUGAUGCCCUGUUAUUCCAUUUUACUUUCAAUGGAAAAGCAAACUGAGCAAAAGCUAUUUGGGGAUAAAGUAUGGGAAGUUUUAAAAAAUGGAAAUUAAGAAAUUUCGCUUGUAAAAACAGAGCCACAGAAUGCUUAGUAACACCAAGAAUAUUCUCCUUUUAACCCUCCUAUCUCUCAACUUUACUCCCCUUUACCCUGAACCUAAUCUCCUCUGUUCAGGUCACGAAUACACAGCACCCAUGUAAUGGGGACCAAAGUCUUCUGGGACUGGUCGUAUGAACCUGAAGAUGAAUCAUGACUUAAGUGUUAAGGACUGUCAUGCACUCUUAUAGCUGCCGCAGAAGCCUGAAACCUGGGCGAGUUUUGAGCUGGGAGAUAGAACGAGAUUCACACGACAUGCCGCGUGACCAGAAUGCCACUGUAGCAGAAACUACUGGAUGCUCACCAAACCCAUUUCCUCUUCUUCCUAAGCAUACAGCUCAAAUAAAUUACCCAGCCUCCCUUUUGUGGCCAUGUAACUGUGUUCCAGCGAGAGGAAUGUGAGGAUAAGUGGCAUGCACCACUUCCAGCCCUGGCCCGUAAAAAUCCUCCGACGUGCAUCUUCCAAACUCCCUUCUCUGGCUGCCUAGAGUGACAUUGACUUUUAUGGUACCUUUGGAAGCCACAUGUUGAAGAUAGCAGAACUAAACAUGCAAGGAGCCUGGCCCUUGAUUCACUCCUUGGAGGAUCUCUACUCAAGCAGGAAUGCUAAAUUGAACUGCUACAUGAUUUUCCUGUUUCAAGACGGCAAAAUGUUGGGG
Molecule: long non-coding RNA, 2134 nt
Filed under: Equus caballus (horse)
Lineage: Eukaryota; Metazoa; Chordata; Mammalia; Perissodactyla; Equidae
Description: lncRNA (ENSECAG00000041289.2)
Source: RNAcentral